AUACGAAGGGUGCUAGCGUUGUUCGGAAUGACUGGGCGUAAAGGGCGUGUAGGCGGUUUAAUGCGUCAGAUGUGAAAGUCCUGGGCUUAACCUAGGGAUUGCAUUUGAUACGGUUAGACUAGAGGUUUUGAGAGGGAGAUGGAAUUGUGCGUGUAGCAGUGAAAUGCGUAGAGAUGCACAGGAACACCAGUGGCGAAGGCGAUCUCCUGGCGAAGACCUGACGCUAAAGCGCGAAAGCGUGGGGAGC
This 247-nucleotide ribosomal RNA is filed under the name uncultured bacterium. RNAcentral's name for it is "partial 16S ribosomal RNA". It matches the Rfam family "Bacterial small subunit ribosomal RNA", at positions 523 to 769 of the family's 1533-position model. The record is from RNAcentral.